This is a long non-coding RNA of Hylaeus anthracinus, 3808 nucleotides long. RefSeq lists it as uncharacterized. NCBI's taxonomy places the organism in Eukaryota, Metazoa, Arthropoda, Insecta, Hymenoptera, Colletidae. The transcript has 6 exons. The record is from RefSeq and is a predicted model, not a curated record.
GUUUUCAACAUUUAUCGCUAAUUUAUUAUAUUUAAAAGUGUUAGAAAAAUAGCGUCAUCUCCAACUUAUUACCGACAGUAUAUCACAACGACAGCAAACCCUUCAAACAAUGCCGAUAACGAUUACCAUUCUCACCGUUCAAAUUGUCGCGUACAAGAAGAGGGCGUGAAAGAGUCAGAAGGAACGGAUCGCGUGUCACGUGGUUCGCGAAAAAACAUACUCUGGUGGUUGUAUCCGUUUUUGCCGUAAACGCUGUCAAAUGAUUAGGUCCCAAUUCGAAGAAGUUUGUCACUGUCAGCAUUUGAUAUCGGAGGCAAUGACAUUGGAAUCUGGAGCGUCAACAUGAAGCUGAAGACGAAAUUAGACGGUAUCGUGCUUAGAAACAGUAGGACUCUAUUUAGAAAAAUGUUUAGUUGUUUUGUUUAAAGCAAAAAUUGAAGGCUCUACAAUCCUCGCAACUUUGUAACUUCGGCGACGAGAGGUCGACAAACAUGUCCAUGUACAUGGUUUUCCACGUACAAGUUUUUAUUGAACAAAAUUAUUUGUUAUCACCAAAUAUCUAAUAGAAGGCCCUCGUCCUGAACCCGGUUCCACCCUUAACGUUAAUACACCUUACGCAGGACGGUAUUGAUGUCUGAAAAUACGAGGAUAAGAAGAUCAAAGGUUCCGACAAGAGUAAGGCCGCUAUAAGAUUGCUCUGCUGUUGUUUCUCGAACACCCUGUACACUGGUCUGCGAGCACCGUCGCGAAAGAGCGGUGGAAACUGGCUUGUAUGCGAGAGCUUGGCGCCACACUGUCGCAUCCUAUAUACAGAAUCGCUCUCGCACCGACUACACGAGGAGCACAUACUUGGACGGAACACGUACGCACUGCGUGCCUACGGGGGAGAGAUAGAAAGACAGAUAGCGAGGGAGUUGCGGCCGAUUCUCGCAAGAGAACGGUAUCGUUCUCUUUGCUCAUUCUUCCUUGUAGUUCAUCUUCCGUUUCUUCUACGCUUCCCUUUAUUAAAUUUCCCCCUGUUCCCUAUUAGGUUGGCACGGGUGAAACGUUUAUGGUAACAGAGAAAAUCUAUUUGAAACGGUAAACGGUUAUUGAAAAUAGCCAAGACAUGGGGUAUUUGAGAUUAGGAGCAUUUGAGGAUAUCGCUGUAAAGUUUACAGUGUAAACGUGAGAUCGAGCCUAGCGUCCUGGUGGUUUCUCCGGUGCCACACCGGUAGAGACUCGAUGCUGCGUUAAUUAAGCGCAGCGAGGAAUCAGCAGACAAUUUGCUCUUCCUUCGAGUAACACGGCGUCGACGUCGUACUUGAUACCAGGGAGAUGGAUACGUAACACGACUACAUAGUAGAACAGGCAGCGAGCCAGCGAAUCGCCCAACCGACAAUCCAGUCGGCCAGACAGCAAGUCAACCGAGCAAUUAACGAGCAACAGAGAGCCACAUGGCAGAGAAAAAGGGAAGUGGAAAAUAAAGUAGAGUGAUUGGCGCGAUGCCUGGUUGGUGUAGAUGGGAAAUCGAAUGAUCGCUUUUUGCAAGAUUCGCGAGUAUUAAGUCAGUUAGAAACAUUUGUUUAAGUCUACCCAACGCAACUUUGAAUACCUCAGGUAAAUUACACAUCGCUAUCAUUUUUUAUGUGAACGCAAUAUCGCGAAGGGGAAGAUCUCCCCGAUCUGUCGGCAAUGCGUUAAGCAAUUUUCGUUUGGAAAAUUGAGUAUUUCGACGAGCACACCGGAGGAGGAUUCCUGUUCUCGUGGUCCAUAAACGGUAACGAUUCCGUCGAGGGCCACGUGUUCCAUCCCGCGACGAAAACCAUGCGUCCACGGCCGGAAGAAUCAUGGAGGGAGAACGGAGAGGGCAAGGGAAGGGAAUUGAAUCGCGAUGAGACGAGCGAGCAUGGUCUCAGAGGAGAUUGUUUUGCGCUCGGCUGUGUACCGCGAAUCACGCUUACCAGGAGACUGCGAACAAGGUCCGGGAGUAGAAGCAAGCGUGUACGCACGCAUUCGCGUAGGUCGUUCGACGUAGCGGCCGGCGACCGGCGACGGUCAGCUGGCGCCAACACUCUGGCAACCUCCCACCAGACAGUAUUUCGCCUCGUUAAUCUUGCUUUAUGGUCACCGGCUCUACCUAAAUUCCGCGACUGUUUUCGUCUCCCUAUGCUACGCCUGAUUCGCGAUUCGUAACUCGAGACACGGUAUUUCCGUGCAUCUCUCUCCCCUUCGGGCUUCGAUAUUUGUCAUCGGUAAACCUCGGGCUGAUCUUUAUUUUUUAUUUCGGAAUUGGAUACUAUUCAGUCGCUAAUGACUUUCCCGAAACGUAGUAAAAUUGCCCUUUGUAUGAAAAUUAUUAGUAUUAUCAAAUUACGACGUGAUUACCUUAAGAAUCUUCUUUGUGUGCCCCAAGUCGAAUGGUCCGUCUUACCAAUCCUGAUAGGGGCCUGACAAAGAGAGCCUCUUGGGGAAGAGUCAAAGCAUGGAAUUAGUCGUUGUCAAACGGUAAGAUCUUCUCGUCGAUGUCGAUGUCGACAUCGAUAUCGUUGCGAAUACCAACGAGCACGGUAAUUUUGUCGCGUUCUCUUUGUGCAGGAGUCGGGGGAGCCGCGCGCGUUCCAAGCAAGGAGCCGGUUAUUAUUCCCGGCGUGUAACCACCGAAAAUUAAGCGAUGCUCAUGAAAACGGGUAAACGCACCUGCGUUCCCACAGCAGGUGUACGCGUACAAUUUCUCGCCGUGUCGGUUCUGUUCGAUGCAGUGUGAAUGGCGACGAGUAUGCACCGCAGGCGUCCAUCGCGUUCCGUUUCUGAUUCGAUCGCGCCUCGAACGGCACUGCAUCUUAUACCGCGGUUUUCUCUUUGUAACAGUGGGACAUUUUCGCCGUUAGUACUCGAUUCGCCCCCAAUACCUAGAUAUACAUCUCUUAACCGACCUCUGAAUGUCUCGUUACCUAACAAUGAAUCAAGGUCUGAUUUCAGUGAAAAAUGGUCUCUCCGUCUCUGUUAUUUGCGCGAGCGUGAAACAGCACGAGUGCGAUACGAGUGUUGACAGGAAGAGGAAACGAAUUGAACGAGGCAAGUAAAACGACAAUCGCGAAAGCCAAGAGCAAAAACGAGACCACCGGGCACAGAAGGGCUGAUGUGUUUUUACGCACUCGAGUUCUCUCUCUUCUGGCGCGGCGCUACACGAUGCCCAUGUUAGGGAUGCCCUUGCACGGCGCAUAGUCGAUCGAGUGCAUGCAGCGUCCGCGUGACGCUCCGCUACGGACGAGGAGAAUCAAACAUCGUCGCGAGACGCGAUGAAAUUUAACGAGACGCGGAGAAACAUGGCGAAGCUGACCAAACCGAUGGCCAAGCAUCCGAGGCCGGUUUUCGAGAAGGUAGCUCGUCGCGAGUCGACGUCAUUGCCACCUGCUGCACGAAUAGUCUCGGGACGGACGGUGGACGAGCGAGCAAACUGGUAGGAAUGACGGCAAUGGUUUAAGCCCGGAAGGAAGGAAACAAAAUCGUUACUUUCACGAAUCAUUUUUUUUUUAUCUUCUUAUUUCCAUAUUCGAAGCUCACGGCUAUCAUUAACGCGACUCGAAGGCGAAGACACCUGCUCCACAGCCUAGUGGCAAGAAGAAAGAUUGGGUAUCAGUUCAAUUUAAUGAUGGUUAAUUAAAAAUAUCAUAUCCAAGGAUCUAUGUAUUUCUGUCUUAUGAGGUGUGUAUUAAGCGUUUCUCUGUCGCGGUACUGAUAACGAGAGUGAUUUUGCGCAGGUUGAGGUUGUACUCGACGAAUCUAGCGGCAACCGGUUGUAACUGCUGACAGAUGGAUUAGGAUA